Molecule: ribosomal RNA, 497 nt
Filed under: uncultured bacterium
Lineage: Bacteria
Description: partial 16S ribosomal RNA
Rfam family: Bacterial small subunit ribosomal RNA
Source: RNAcentral
GACGAACGCUGGCGGCGUGCCUAAUACAUGCAAGUAGAACGCUGAAGGAAGGAGCUUGCUCUUUCUGGAUGAGUUGCGAACGGGUGAGUAACGCGUAGGUAACCUGCCUGGUAGCGGGGGAUAACUAUUGGAAACGAUAGCUAAUACCGCAUAAAAUUGAUUAUUUCAUGAUAGUCAAUUAAAAGGUGCAACUGCACCACUACCAGAUGGACCUGCGUUGUAUUAGCUAGUUGGUGGGGUAACGGCUCACCAAGGCGACGAUACAUAGCCGACCUGAGAGGGUGAUCGGCCACACUGGGACUGAGACACGGCCCAGACUCCUACGGGAGGCAGCAGUAGGGAAUCUUCGGCAAUGGACGGAAGUCUGACCGAGCAACGCCGCGGGAGUGAAGAAGGUUUUCGGAUCGUAAAGCUCUGUUGUAAGAGAAGAACGAGUGUGAGAGUGGAAAGUUCACACUGUGACGGUAUCUUACCAGAAAGGGACGGCUAACUACGUG